AAAGUGAAGGCCUUCCUCUAGGUGGGCUUAGGUGGGAUCCCGUCCCCUGGGGCGGGCGCACCACCGGCCCGUCUCGAUCAUAACUGAUGAGGCGGAGCAAGAGCGUACACGUUGGGACCCGAAAGAUGGUGAACUAUGCCUGAGUAGGUUGAAGCCAGAGGAAACUCUGGUGGAGGACCGUAGCGAUUCUGACGUGC
This 197-nucleotide ribosomal RNA is filed under the name Amphiglena terebro. RNAcentral's name for it is "partial 28S ribosomal RNA". It matches the Rfam family "Eukaryotic large subunit ribosomal RNA", at positions 722 to 894 of the family's 3401-position model. The record is from RNAcentral. Lineage: Eukaryota; Metazoa; Annelida; Polychaeta; Sabellida; Sabellidae.